Molecule: long non-coding RNA, 2138 nt
Organism: Lolium rigidum
Lineage: Eukaryota; Viridiplantae; Streptophyta; Magnoliopsida; Poales; Poaceae
Exons: 4
Source: RefSeq, a predicted model, not a curated record
UAGAUAAGGCUUCACACUACAGUACUAAAUUUAUACAAUUGAUCGUACUGAUAAUAGUGUAGUUGUUGGAGUUUCCCCAACUUAACCUAUGCAAACAAUUAAAGAAUUUGGGGAAAGAGGUGAUUCAUUACGGAAACGAUAUGAAAUGUCAGUUGAGAUCCUUUCAAUUUCAUUCUAAAUUCUUGUGUUGUGGCUUCAUUCCGAGAUUUUGCAGAAAUGAACAUUUCACAGUUAUAACUAUGCCAGUGAGUUGUUUACUUCCAUAAGCAUUCACACAAUAGGAUCAUCAGAUUGUGGGAGGAUCUCUAUUUCUCAUUAUACUGAAAGACUAGGCUCAGAAAUUGUAAAGCCUGCUAGAUUUCUUGUGCUAAGGAUUAAGGUGGAUCUCCAGUUUGGCUACUUUUUGGUUUCUGCAUGCAGCAAUAAUACCACAAGAAAUAAUAUUUUACUGUACAAACUUGAAUUACUAACUGAAAAACGUGCUUCUAUCAAAUUUAAUAUUGAUUUUUUCUUUGUUAUGCAUUAAUAAAAAAAGACCAUCCUUUCUCCUGGCACCAUAGCAAUUAGGAAACAGAAUACUCCAAAACAAAGUUAGUUAGCUGUAGCUUUUAAUUAACUAGAUUAUGUCCUGCACGUUGCUGGCAACCUGCCUCAUGUAGGAAGGAACUCAAGGAGGGACUGAAGUUUCCUGCGCAGAUUCAGGAGAAGCAAUUCCUUGAAGAAACGCAGUGGGCUGGAUGGUUACAGGAAAGGAGGGGGUUAAUGAGAAGUGGGGAGGCGAUGUGCUUAAAUGGAAUUGGAAAGACUGCGUGUGAAAAGACCGUUUGGGAUUUCAUUGUUGUUUGGCAGAAAAAGGUUUAAAAAGAAUAUAUGAUGUGGCACUGCUGCAUGUACUGCAAAAAUCAGUAGUGGGUGGCUCCUAUUUAGUUGUAGAAGAUAUAUCUGAUAAGGAGACACAGUAUUACACAUGGACUAUACUAGUUAUCAAUCUAAAUCUGACAUAUGUUCCACUGUUAGCUUAAUCCACUGCAAAAUACUUGUUUCGAUAUGUUUGAUGUCCUGCUGAUAUCAGUUUCGUUGAUGUAUAAACAUGUAUAGUUAGUAUAUUGCCUUCUGCCCCUCACACUUAAUGGUUUUGUAGAACCUUGCUGUUUCAAGCUGAUGUGAUAUUAUUAAAUUUUUGCUAGCUGGGUGUUGGAAAUUGUGGUCUGUUAACAGUAUAAUUGUUCGUCUCAUCCUACUAUAAUCUGAAGAUGUGGUUUUGUGUAAUAGUACUCAUGUUUUUAGGUAAACAGUGCUGAAGUUUGGUCACUAUGAUUAAUUCUGUUCAUUUUAUUGCCUAGAUUUGUUGGUCAUGAAUAUGAAAGGUGCGAGAAGAUUGCUGUUGCUGCUUCUUUAGAAUAGAAAUGUGUUGAAAUGGCUAUCUCAAGGCUGCAUACCACAAGUACCCUAUUCCAAGCAAGUAUCGCCAGGUGUUUCAGGCAGUUGUAAAGACACCAGGUCUUAAAAUAAAGUUUUAACGGCAGGUUUUGAUCCACCUAGAUCUCGAUGGCGCUGGAAACUCUAAUCGAAGAGACGAACUUGUGUUGUCACUGUGACUCUACAUUUUGUGCUGACUGCUCAAGAUUGCCAGGUAGCAGCCUAUUUGCUGUGUAAUGUACUGCUAUGCAGCCUACUCACAAGAGAUCCGUGAACCAUAUCUGAAUGGGGCAUCAGUUCCCAUUCCCUUCAAUGUACUUUUAAAAGGUUCAAAGUACUAUCUCUAUUUUUGUGCAAGGGGGACUUUGUUCUAGUAUUGACCAGUUGCUACUUUCGUAUUUGUUCAGGAGUUGGCUCAACUUGUGCACAAGGUCCAUUUGCUUUGCCGGCUAGCAAGGGUUGGGGUAGUUGACAUGGCUUGCAAUGGUCCUCUAAUUCAGGCUUCAGUUCUCUGUUUCACCACACGACUUGCUGUGGAAUGGUGUAGACAUUCAGAAACUGGACGCUAAUAACCUGCUUAGUCUUGUGAGCUGGGUAAGCCCUCUUUGGGCCUUACAUGUAUUUACAUAUUGUUCCCAUACAUUAUUUUCUUUCUUAAAUAAACGAAUAUAUUGUGCAUGUAGUUCUAUUGUACAUUCUGUGUAAUUGCAUGAUCUAGU